GGGCCCGCACAAGCGGCGGAGCAUGUGGCUUAAUUCGAGGCAACGCGAAGAACCUUACCUGGGUUUGACAUGUAGGGAAAAGCCGUAGAGAUACGGUGUCCUUCGGGGCCUUACACAGGUGGUGCAUGGCUGUUGUCAGCUCGUGUCGUGAGAUGUUGGGUUAAGUCCCGCAACGAGCGCAACCCUUGUCCUAUGUUGCCAGCGGGGUAAUGCCGGGGACUCGUAGGAGACUGCCGGGGUCAACUCGGAGAAGGUGGGGAUGACGUCAAGUCAUCAUGCCCCUUACGUCCAGGGCUGCACACAUGCUACAAUGGCUGGUACAACGGGCUGCUAUCCCGCGAGGGGGACCCAAUCCCAAAAGCCAGUCUCAGUUCGGAUUGGAGUCUGCAACUCGACUCCAUGAAGUCGGAGUCGCUAGUAAUCCCGGAUCAGCAACGCCGGGGUGUAUACGUUCCCGGGCCUUGUACACACCGCCCGUCACACCACGAAAGUAGGUAACACCCGAAGCCGGUGGCCCAACCUUUUGGGAAGGAGCCGUCGAAGGUGGGAUCGGUGAUUGGGGGUG
Molecule: ribosomal RNA, 565 nt
Filed under: uncultured bacterium
Lineage: Bacteria
Description: bacterial SSU rRNA
Rfam family: Bacterial small subunit ribosomal RNA
Source: RNAcentral